ACGAACGCUGGCGGCAUGCCUAACACAUGCACGUCGAACGCGACCUUCGGGUCUAGUGGCGCACGGGUGCGUCACGCGUGGGAACCUGCCCUUAGGUUCGGAAUAACUCCCCGAAAGGGGUGCUAAUACCGGAUAAUGUCUUCGGACCAAAGAUUUAUCGCCUUUGGAUGGGCCCGCGUUGGAUUAGCUAGUUGGUAGGGUAAAAGCCUACCAAGGCGACGAUCCAUAGCUGGUCUGAGAGGAUGAUCAGCCACACUGGGACUGAGACACGGCCCAGACUCCUACGGGAGGCAGCAGUGGGGAAUAUUGGACAAUGGGCGAAAGCCUGAUCCAGCAAUGCCGCGUGAGUGAUGAAGGCCUUAGGGUUGUAAAGCUCUUUUACCCGGGAUGAUAAUGACAGUACCGGGAGAAUAAGCUCCGGCUAACUCCGUG
This 432-nucleotide ribosomal RNA is filed under the name uncultured bacterium. RNAcentral describes it as "partial 16S ribosomal RNA". It matches the Rfam family "Bacterial small subunit ribosomal RNA", at positions 29 to 507 of the family's 1533-position model. The record is from RNAcentral.